GCCAGCUAUUCUCUACUGAGGCCAACUGUGAGCCCUGGUGUAUUUCAUUGGCAGGAGAAGAGGCUAAUUAAGUGAAACUGAAAGGUCCCUGACUACGGCUCCCCAGAGCCUGCCUUCAUCUAGGAUGGCUCCUCUGGGCAUGCUACUUGGGCUGCUGAUGGCCGCCUGCUUCACCUUCCGCCUCAGUCAUCAGAACCUGAAGGAGUUUGCCCUGACCAACCCAGAGAAGAGCAGCACCAAAGAAACGGAGAGAAAAGAAACCAAAGCCGAGGAAGAGCUGGAUGCCGAAGUCCUGGAGGUGUUCCACCCGACGCAUGAGUGGCAGGCCCUUCGGCCAGGAAGGUGCUUCUUGUCAAGAGAAAAAAAAUCUUCUGGUUAUAUGGGCAGAAAUUCAAGUGGAGUAUUUCGUCUUCUUUGGAAGAAAGAUAAAGCCUAUAAUGCCCUUUCUUCAAUGAGACACAUUCUUCGGAGAGGGAAUGGCCAAGAGCUGAGCCCAGAUUGUAUUUUGGCAUUUGAUUGUUGCUGCCGUGCCUUGAAUAUAGC
RNAcentral lists this small RNA (543 nucleotides) under Pan troglodytes (chimpanzee). RNAcentral describes it as "processed transcript". The record is from RNAcentral. Lineage: Eukaryota; Metazoa; Chordata; Mammalia; Primates; Hominidae.